GGAGGAAUACCCAAGAGGCUGAAGGGGCGGGCUUGGAAAGCUCGUAGACAUGCAAGUGUGCCAGGGUUCAAAUCCCUGUUCCUCCGCCA
Molecule: transfer RNA, 89 nt
Filed under: Erysipelotrichaceae bacterium
Lineage: Bacteria; Bacillati; Bacillota; Erysipelotrichia; Erysipelotrichales; Erysipelotrichaceae
Description: tRNA-Ser
Rfam family: tRNA
About the family: Transfer RNA (tRNA) molecules are approximately 80 nucleotides in length. Their secondary structure includes four short double-helical elements and three loops (D, anti-codon, and T loops).
Source: RNAcentral